Molecule: long non-coding RNA, 4610 nt
Organism: Xiphophorus couchianus (Monterrey platyfish)
Lineage: Eukaryota; Metazoa; Chordata; Actinopteri; Cyprinodontiformes; Poeciliidae
Exons: 2
Source: RefSeq, a predicted model, not a curated record
UUCACCUUUAAUGUUUCUAUUUUAGCAUAGAAACCUCGCCUGUUUCAUGUUAUUUUUAAAUUUUAUGCAUAUUUUCCCUCCAGGCAAAAGCUCACACUUGCAAGCCUAAAAUUAGCUUGCGUGAUGAAACGACGCGGAGAAAUCAGAUUGACAGCAGUGGAGAAAAAUAGGUGCAAAAUCUCCGCAGACGCUCCAUGUUUUGGUAGAGCACAUAUCUGUCCCUACGUUCUGUAAAACUCAAAUAAUGAAAGGACAGAAAAAUAAAUAAAACAGUGUGUUCACAAGUUUGUCAAAAGGAGCAAAAUUCUCAGAGCGUUUAAUCACCUCCUGUAUGAUUCGCCUGUCUGGAAUUACUAGUCUGUUCUGACAGAGUCCACGGUGCUAAUUGUGAAACGCUGACAGUGCUCAUCACACAAACGAAUGUCUUACGAAUUUCCUGGAACAUUGUCAGGGCUCCCUUUUGUUAUUUUCUUUCCCCUUUUUAUCCUUGCACCCAGUCUGCUGAGGAAACAUGGCCAUUAUCAGUGCCGAUACGUAUGACUUACUUCGCUACUCGACCUUAAGAAAAAUCCUCCGUAGUUUUGUUCUGUUUUCUGCUCUUCGCCGCUCAGAUGCGCUGAAUCAACCGCAUGGAGUAUUAUUGGCAAGGAAAUUUGCAAUUUGAGUUUUGAAAGAAAAGGGACAUUUCAGUUCAUGUCUUACACAAAUUUGUUCUUUUCACUGGCUCUUUGGUCACAGCCUCAUCUAGUCACCUCGUUUUAAAAUGAUGCUGUUUAAUUAAGUAAUUCCCGUUAUUGCCCAUACUCUCUGAACUCUUCUCUCUCCUUAUUCUUCAGGGGUAAAAUUAAUAAUUUUUGAAGUAAGGUUCUGUUAAGUGGCUAUAAGCGGUUGCAGCUGGAAAUUACUCACAUGGUGUCUUCAUUCUGUAUAAUUUCAGAUUGCUUGGCCCCGAGUGCUUAAAUGGUAAGUGGACUGAACUUAUAUAGCGCUUUUCCAGUCAUUUUGACCUCUCAAAGCGCUUUACAAUAUGGAACAGAAACUAACUACUAUCCAAGAAGGGCCAAGACUAAAGUGGACUUCUAGGUCCUUAUAGAAACCCCAAUCUCAUAAUGUUUAAUGCAAACCCUAUUUUAUAUACCUUUAAGCUCUUUGGACUUAGUGGCUGUUUUACAGCAGCUGACAAUGAUUUCCACAGGAAAUGAAAGUGCAACACCAAUUAAUUUCCUGUGUGAAACUCUUAUUGAGAAUGGAAGCAUGUCCAUUCAGAGUAACUCUCUGAUAUAAAGGGAAGGGGUGUAAAACACACAAAUAUUAAAGCAGUUUAUGAUUGAAGGACCUUGUUUUAUAUAUAUUUUUAUUGAUUUUACCACUGGUUCACGUCUCUGUUACGUAUGUACUUGGAAACACUUACAUGCUCCAUUUUCACGUUACACAGAGGAAGCCUGUGUUAACUAUUAUAAAUAAGCAUUAGCCUUACUGUCCAAUAUAUAUGUAAUUACAGUGUAUAGGUUCAUAAAAUGGUCAAUGAAGACAGAAAGAGCGUAAUAUACUUCUGAUAUAUUUAUGUGCUUUUAAACUUUUACAGAACUUUGCUUCAACAAUCCUAAACUUUUUCAGUAAGAUCGUUUUUAUUGUCUGUUUCAAAGCUCCCUAUAUUUAGCCAAAGUCUCAGCUCCCCCCAACCCGUCCACUUUUCUAAAAAUGAUUCAGUGGUUAAAUGUCAGAGCUGUCCGUACCAUUAAGGCCAGCGUGUUUGAAGGAAGGACACCUCCCCCUCCUUCCUCUGUCUCUUUAAAUCCCCUUCUCCCCCCGUUAGCUCCCACAUCAUCCAGCACCCCCUCACCAUCGCUCCAACCAGGCUGGUUAGAGGGCUGAUGUGCAGGCCUUGUCAUUCAGAUUAAGGCCACAUUGUCAGCUCAGGGCUCUUCUCUCUUUAGUUUCGUGUCCCGUUUCUUUCUUCCCACUGUCAGCCACCCCGUCCCGCGGCCAGAAAAGACCUUAUAAAGCUACACUCUCUCUCAUCCACUUCUGUCAAUUCAAACACUGUCACUCACACCACCAUUGGGGGUUUGUCGCAGCAAGGACUAUUUGUUUAUAUAUAAUGUUGGACAUGUUUUUCUAUGUAGAUAUAUAUUUCAUCAGCUAACAGAGUUGUAGACUUGAUUUAUUUUUUGGGGGGGGGGAGUUACUUUGAAGUGAAGAGAUCUUCGUCAGGUACAAAUAAAAUGACAGCAGUGGCACAAGAUGUGAGGGUAAAAAGAGGCGGCAUACUCCUCUCCACAAGUCUUAGUACUCUUUGUAGUAAAGACAGCAAAAGCUGUUAUUUUUAAAUCAAAGUUGUAUGAGUGCAGGGGUAUUUAGAGAGAGAUUGGCAGGUGGUGACACAUUCAACCAGAUUGCCUUAGUCACUCCUUAUCCUGCUCUGUUAAAGCAUCCCAGAAUGAUAUUUAUCACCCAAACGAAUCUUGACUCAUCAGCGUAGUUGCUCUCACGUCCUGUCUUAUUUACUACAGCAGCUCUGUGGCAUUUGAGUUUCAUGCUUCUUACUGUCUGCGCAUUUUUCUUUCCUUCCCAAGAUGAGCAAUGAUUCAGCACUGUCUAAGAUGGUGGACAGUUUCUCUCUUGGUUUUAGUGCAAAGAGAGGAAACAAAUAAAAAGCGCAUUUGAGCCUUUCAGUCCUCAGACUCAGGGGACCACAUCAUAACGAAACAGCAAGCGUUACUGAUCGGGGUGAGUCGGCAGUUUCAUACCCGUUCUCUCCCUCAUCCUCAAACUUGCGCUGAAGCCUUUGAGGCAUGUUGAUGCUCCUCUAGAGGCCGAGCAGCUGUGCUUCAAAACAGGAAAGAAAAAAAAAAAGACAGAAAACUGCAGCUCCUGCCCAGGUGCUCUGUUAACCAAGAACUACUAUGAGUCAGGAGUUUCAAGAUGACUUUCUUUGUGUAACUGCUACUUUCAGCAAAGUAAGACAUGUUCCCAUGCACUCACCGUCUGUGUAAUUUUGACCGUAUUUCAUGGAAGUUAAAUCGUACUUGUAUUACUGGUUGGUUUCUAAGAUUUAAAGAAAAGGUGAGUCAAAGUUGUUUCUUUUUUCAUGGGCUGCGGUGGAAGAAACUACUGGGGGAGGAAAAAUCUUCACAAAGUCAUACACUUGUUUUUGUGUCACAUUUGUUUUUUUUUAUUAUUUAAAGAAAUGUUUUGGAUAUUUCAAUCAAAAUGACCAAAAUGUAAUAUGUUAUUGUCAUGUAACUGGGAACAACUCCACUAAUACACAGUUAUGUUAUUGAUACCCUUGGCAGAUUUAGGGUUGAAGUAAUUUUAUCAACAUGUUUCUUUGUCUGUUAUUAUUUUGAAGUGACCCAGACAGAGUUCGAACUUGAAACUGAUAGGGAAUUUGUUGAAGGAACUAAAGAUUAGGGUGAUGGCCUUUAUGUCAAAGAUUUGGAGCUCAUCUUGGACAAUAAAUCAUCUUGAUGAUGAUGAUUUAUUGUUCAUAAAUCACUAGAAGCUCUUAUCAGUAAUUAUAGAAAGGUGUGAUUGCUUUAAUGCUAAUAAAGAUCUCAAAUUGAUUAUUGGGAAGAAUUUUUACAUGCUAUUUAUUUUAUUAAAAUAAACAAAACUUUAUAUAUGAAAUUAACACUUUUGUAUUUUCUUAUCUAUCAAGAGAAGACUUUCCCAUUUUCUCUUGGUCAAAUGAAGCAAGUUUUAUGUCUAAAUCUGCCAUAGGGAUGAAUAAAGUUCAGCUUUACGUAACCAGUUCAAGCAUUGGUUAGCACAUAAUCAUUAAAUAUCCAUGAUGUUGUUGUCAUUGGUAAAGCUCCCAUGACCUUUUCUGUUUACUUCUGAAGAAUGAAAGAAAGAUUUACUUCAUGAAUAUGCAAGGUAAAAGUUUCUCCACCCACAGAGCAGCCACGCUUCGCCCUCAUUUCUAAGCAGACUGUCAUCUCUGGUCACCGUCCGGUUCACGCUUCCCUCAGUGAACAUUCAACGCUGUCGAUGAAGAUAAAGCCCCACCAUACGAAUCAGAGGAAGAACGGCUGACGACUCCUUGGGAAGGAAAACAAUCCGGACAUACUUCCAGCUUUCUAAAUCACAACAAAGGUCACAAUCAACAUUCAUUGCUGUCGGUGGGUUUGACUUUGUGGAAGAGCUCACUGAACGAUGAAUGCAACUGUGUCCCAGAUUUCAUCCGACCGUCACAAGGAAUGUUGUCACGGCAUGCUGAUGAUGGCGUUAUUUAUUUCGCCUGUCUCUCUCCCUCAGCUACCGUGAUGCUGGUGGUGUGAACUGCCUUGUUGACAGUUUGGCUUUAGGAGCAACAGAAGAAAAGACAAUAAAACUAAACUUGGGACAUGAAAUACUAGACAUGACUUUGUUGUGAACUUUGAACUAAAUGGAAAUGUUUUAUUUUUUGUGCACAUUGUAAUUGGACUAGUUGGUAUGUUAAGGUAUAAAACGGCAUAAAUCAGGUGGUCUUCAUUUCUGUAAUGUUUCCAGGAAUUAAGUUACUAUGAUACAUAAGAAUUUAAAUUCACUUUGUGUUCCUAAUUCUUAACACAUCGCAUGCACUGUCUUUGAUGAAUUUCAAUAAAUCAUCACACUUUCAGAUCUCA